CAGCGGCAUACGGCUCAGUAACACGUAGUUAACCUAACCUUAGGAGGGAAAUAACUAUGGGAAACUGUAGCUAAUAUCCCAUAGGUGAAAUGGCCUGGAAUGGUAUUUCACCCAAAAGUUCUGAAAGGCAUGCUCUUUUAUACCGCCUAAGGAUGGGACUGCGGCCGAUUAGGUUGUUGGUAAUGUAACGGACCACCAAACCGAUAAUCGGUACGGGCCAUGUGAGUGGGAGCCCGGAGAUGGGAACUGACACAAGGUCCCAGGCCCUACGGGGCGCACCAGGCGCGAAACCUCCACAAUGCACGAAAGUGUGAUGGGGUUACCCUGAGUGCCAUCCGAUGAGGGUGGCUUUUCAUCAUCUUACCGCGUUGGUGGAAUAACGGGAGGGCAAUGCUGCUGCCAGCCGCCGCGGUAAAACCAGCUCCUCGAGUGGUCGGGAUGAUUAUUGGGCCUAAAGCGUCCGUAACCGGUCCUGUA
This 477-nucleotide ribosomal RNA is filed under the name uncultured archaeon. Its description in RNAcentral is "bacterial SSU rRNA". It matches the Rfam family "Archaeal small subunit ribosomal RNA", at positions 76 to 535 of the family's 1478-position model. The record is from RNAcentral.